AAUGAUCGAGCUGAAAGUUUGUCAAGACCAGGAGUGAGAUUGUGGACAAAACAUGUAGAUCCGAAGACCCGAGGAGGAAGUGAGUGAAGAGGGGUACCAGGAAAGAGGAUCGAGUGAGGGACUUUGUUAUCAAGAGCAGACGAAGGCAUGCGAUUUAUAAGAUAGCACGCCGUUAGAACAGCAUCGCCCCAAAAGCGAGAUGGUACAUUACCAUGAAGAAGGAGAGUACGAGUGGUUUCAAUAAGGUGCCGAUUUUUGCGUUCGGCUACCCCAUUUUGUUGAGGUGUAUGAGCACAAGAUGUUUGAUGAAGAAUGCCGUUAGAGGUCAUAAAAUUUUGAAAUUGAUGGGACAAAUAUUCACGGGCAUUAUCACUGCGCAAAGUGCGAAUGGAUACACCAAAUUGAGUUUUAAUUUCCUUAUAAAAUUGUUCAAAAAUAGAAAAUAAUUCAGACCUAUUUUUCAUUAAAAAUAACCACGUACAACGGGAAAAAUCAUCGAUAAAGGUAACAAUCAAGAGCAUACGACGGCAUGCGAUUUAUAAGAUAGCACGCCGUUAGAACAACAUCGCCCCAAAAGCGAGAUGGUACAUUACCAUGAAGAAGGAGAGUACGAGUGGUUUCAAUAAGGUGUCGAUUUUUGCGUUUGGCUACCCCAUUUUGUUGAGGUGUAUGAGCACAAGAUGUUUGAUGAAGAAUGCUGUUAGAGGUCGUAAAAUUUUGAAAUUGAUGGGACAAAUAUUCACGGGCAUUAUCACUGCGCAAUGUGCGAAUGGAUACACCAAAUUGAGUUUUAAUUUCCUUAUAAAAUUGUUCAAAAAUAGAAAAUAAUUCAGACCUAUUUUUCAUUAAAAAUAACCACGUACAACGGGAAAAAUCAUCGAUAAAGGUAACAAAAUAUCUAGACUCAGGUGUGGAAAUAGUACGAGAAGGACCCCAAACAUCUGAGUGAACUAAAGCAAAUGGGGAGGAAGCUCGUUUAUUAGCUCGACCAGUGAAAUGACUACGAGUGUGUUUCCCUAAUUGACACGACUCACAAUUUAAGCUAGAUAAUUUGGUUAGAUUAGGUACUAAUUGUUGAAGUUUGGGAAGACUCGAAUGACCUAACUGAGCAUGUAUAGUAAGAGGAGAAUAUGUGGUAGGGCACGCUGUUGAUGGGUUUGAGAGAUAAUAAAGACCAUUAGACUCACAUCCGACACCAAUUUGUCGUCCUGAUAUUCGGUCUUGCAAAGUAACAUUGCAAUUAGUAAAUGUGAAAACACAGCCAUGAGAACGAGUCAAUCGACUGAUAGAAAUUAAAUUAAAUGGACAUCCAGGCACAUAAAGGACAAAUUUAACUAACAGAGUAGGGAGGAUUUGGACAGUGCCAAUCCCUUGAGA
RNAcentral lists this long non-coding RNA (1377 nucleotides) under Cicer arietinum (chickpea). Its description in RNAcentral is "long non-coding RNA (CARI_LNC002897)". The record is from RNAcentral. Lineage: Eukaryota; Viridiplantae; Streptophyta; Magnoliopsida; Fabales; Fabaceae.